CCAAAAGAGAGACAGCUGUUGGAAACACAUCUAGCAACCAGGCCAAGUGGGCCAGACAAAAGAGAUUUGAAAGAUGUCCAAGAUCCUGACCUCCUGUCUGAACCAGUGGUUCCAUCUCGCUGCUAAAUAUACCCCCAGAAGUAUAGGAUGGAACUGCAUAAAACUGCAUCACCAACUCUGAACUCAAAAUCCAGGAUCGAAGGGAAUUUAGGACCAGAAUGCCAAAAAAAAUGCUGUUC
This 239-nucleotide long non-coding RNA is filed under the name Phasianus colchicus (ring-necked pheasant). Its description in RNAcentral is "lncRNA (ENSPCLG00000019448.1)". Lineage: Eukaryota; Metazoa; Chordata; Aves; Galliformes; Phasianidae. The record is from RNAcentral.